AUUGAACGCCGGCGGAAUGCUUUACACAUGCAAGUCGAACGGCAGCAUAGGUGCCUGCACCUGAUGGCGAGUGGCGAACGGGUGAGUAAUACAUCGGAACGUGCCCAGUCGUGGGGGAUAACGUAGCGAAAGUUACGCUAAUACCGCAUACGAUCUAAGGAUGAAAGCGGGGGACCGUAAGGCCUCGCGCGAUUGGAGCGGCCGAUGUCAGAUUAGGUAGUUGGUGAGGUAAAGGCUCACCAAGCCGACGAUCUGAAGCUGGUCUGAGAGGACGACCAGCCACACUGGGACUGAGACACGGCCCAGACUCCUACGGGAGGCAGCAGUGGGGAAUUUUGGACAAUGGACGCAAGUCUGAUCCAGCCAUUCCGCGUGCAGGACGAAGGCCUUCGGGUUGUAAACUGCUUUUGUACGGAACGAAAAAGCUCUUACUAAUACUAGGAGUCCAUGACGGUACCGUAAGAAUAAGCACCGGCUAACUACGUGCCAGCCGCCGCAGUAA
RNAcentral lists this ribosomal RNA (502 nucleotides) under uncultured bacterium. RNAcentral describes it as "partial 16S ribosomal RNA". It matches the Rfam family "Bacterial small subunit ribosomal RNA", at positions 30 to 523 of the family's 1533-position model. The record is from RNAcentral.